GAUGAAGAACGUAGCGAAAUGCGAUAAGUAGUGUGAAUUGCAGAAUUCAGUGAAUCAUCGAAUCUUUGAACGCACAUUGCGCCUCCUGGUAUUCCGGGGGGCAUGCCUGUCCGAGCGUCAUUGCUGCCCUCAAGCACGGCUUGUGUGUUGGGCCUCCGUCCUCCUCCCGGGGGACGGGCCCGAAAGGCAGCGGCGGCACCGCGUCCGGUCCUCGAGCGUAUGGGGCUUCGUCACCCGCUCUUGUAGGCCCGGCCGGCGCUUGCCGACACAUCAAUCUUUUUUCCAGGUUGACCUCGGAUCAGGUAGGGAUACCCGCUGAACUUAAGCAUAUCAAUAAGCGGAGGA
This 345-nucleotide unclassified non-coding RNA is filed under the name soil metagenome. RNAcentral's name for it is "partial contains 5.8S ribosomal RNA, internal transcribed spacer 2, and large subunit ribosomal RNA". The stretch from base 1 to 120 matches the Rfam family "5.8S ribosomal RNA", at positions 35 to 154 of the family's 154-position model. The record is from RNAcentral.